RNAcentral lists this non-coding RNA (210 nucleotides) under Evansella cellulosilytica. RNAcentral describes it as "Bacillus cellulosilyticus T-box sequence". It matches the Rfam family "T-box leader". Rfam says of the family: Uncharged tRNA acts as the effector for transcription antitermination of genes in the T-box leader family. T-boxes are found upstream of many aminoacyl-tRNA synthetase genes and some amino acid biosynthetic genes usually in Gram-positive bacteria. The anticodon of a specific tRNA base pairs to a specifier sequence within the T-box motif, and the NCCA acceptor tail of the tRNA base pairs to a conserved bulge in the T-box antiterminator hairpin. The record is from RNAcentral. Lineage: Bacteria; Bacillati; Bacillota; Bacilli; Caryophanales; Bacillaceae.
GAUAAAGCAUUGAUUGGGAAUAGUAAAUAGUUUGUUGUACGUCAGAGAGUGAGAUUCAUUGGCUGAAAAAUCUCAUCGUAUUAUACCCUAUUGAACCUGUCCAUGAGCUGUUAGUAAAUCAUACUAAUCGUUUAACCAGCGUUAAUGGUGAUGAGUGGGUAUAAUCAUACCAAUGAAGGUGGUACCGCGGAAUGAAACUCCGUCCUUUUU